RNAcentral lists this unclassified non-coding RNA (358 nucleotides) under fungal sp. RNAcentral describes it as "partial internal transcribed spacer region". The stretch from base 1 to 46 matches the Rfam family "Eukaryotic small subunit ribosomal RNA", at positions 1786 to 1831 of the family's 1831-position model. Lineage: Eukaryota; Fungi. The record is from RNAcentral.
AAGUCGUAACAAGGUUUCCGUAGGUGAACCUGCGGAAGGAUCAUUAACACGUAUCCAAACGUUAAACCCCCCCCGUGAACCUUCAUCGUGCUCUAGUGGGCCACUGAUAAACACAGCAAUUCCUGGUAAAUCAUUGUCUGAACAAGCCUUUGAGUCAGGAACCUCUGUGCAGUGCGAGCUACACCCACUAUAGAAGCGCUAGUUCCAUCGGCAUUGUUUCCCCAAGCAGCCAGUGCGUGAAAGUGGCAACUGACUGUGCCAUGCCCCUUCCUUCUGCCGAUUUCACAUACAAAGCUCCAUUUUCAAUUAUGGAUGGGGUAAAACCGAACAACUGUUAACAAUGGAUAUCUUGGUUCUC